RNAcentral lists this ribosomal RNA (455 nucleotides) under Phoberus capensis. Its description in RNAcentral is "partial 16S ribosomal RNA". It matches the Rfam family "Bacterial large subunit ribosomal RNA", at positions 1808 to 2530 of the family's 2925-position model. The record is from RNAcentral. Lineage: Eukaryota; Metazoa; Arthropoda; Insecta; Coleoptera; Trogidae.
CAAAAACAUGUCUUUUUGAUUAUAAUUUAAAGUCUAACCUGCCCAAUGAUUAUUAAUUUAAUGGCCGCGGUAUUUUGACCGUGCUAAGGUAGCAUAAUAAUUAGUUUUUUAAUUGAGAACUAGAAUGAAUGGUUGGACAAAGAAAAUUCUGUCUCAAGUUUAAUUUAAUUAGAAUUUUAUUUUUAAGUAAAAAAGCUUAAAUAAGUUUAAAAGACGAGAAGACCCUAUAGAGUUUAAUAUUAUUUAUUAUACAUAAUUUUAGGAAUUAUAAAUUUGAUAUAUUAAAUAUUAUUUUGUUGGGGUGACUAAAAAAUUAAAUAAACUUUUUUUAUCUAAGUUCAUUAAUUGAUGAUUAUGUGAUCCAUUAUUUAUGAUUAUAAGAUUAAAUUACCUUAGGGAUAACAGCGUAAUUUUUUUUAAGAGUUCAUAUCGAAAAAAAAGAUUGCGACCUCGAU